GAAAAGUUUUAUUCUUGCUUGGUUAUUUAAUAUAAUGUUAUUAUAUAUGUAGGUUUAUGCGUAUAAGGAUAUUUAAAUCUAAAUGGUUGAUUGAUUUAUGUUUCGCAGUAUAAAAUAUUAUGAAUUGAGGAAAUUUUGAUUUAGUAAUUGUUAAUUAGUGUUGAUAAAAUAUGUGCCAGCAGUCGCGGUUAUACAUGAAACAUAAUUGAAUAUAUUCAGUUAAAGUAGUUAAUUAGAUAUUUUGAAUUUAAAUUGGUCAUUAUUGGGUGAAAUAUUAAUGUUUGUUUAUAAUUUAUAAAAUUUAUUAAAUGAAGCUGUGAAAUCUAAUUUAUUUAGACUAGGAUUAGAUACCCUAUUAUUUUGGAUGUAAAUUAAUUAAACUUGAGUAGUAAUAGAUGAGGUCUUGAAACUUAAAGAAUUUGGCGGUAUUUUAGUCUAUUUAGAGGAAUCUGUCCCGUUAUCGAUAAUCCACGCUGGACCUUACUUAGUUUAUUAAAUAUGUAUAUCGCCGUUGUUGAAAAUCUUUUUAGAGUUAAUAAUUUUUUAAAAAUUUGUUUUAUAAUCUUUCAGGUCAAGGUGCAGUUUAUGAUUAAGUGGAGAUGGAUUACAAUAUUUUAAAGUAUAUGGAUUGUUAUUUGAAAAUAAAGUAAUAUGAAGGUGGAUUUAAUAGUAAUAUUAUGAAGAUUGUUAAUAUGAUUAUAGCUCUAAAAUAUGCACACAUCGCCCGUCGCUCUCGCUGUGGAGAUUUUAAAGUGAGAUAAGUCGUAACAUAGUAGUUGUACCGGAAGGUGUAACUAGAAUAAAU
RNAcentral lists this non-coding RNA (805 nucleotides) under Symploce maxima. RNAcentral's name for it is "12S ribosomal RNA". The stretch from base 384 to 797 matches the Rfam family "Microsporidia small subunit ribosomal RNA", at positions 752 to 1303 of the family's 1311-position model. The record is from RNAcentral. Lineage: Eukaryota; Metazoa; Arthropoda; Insecta; Blattodea; Blattellidae.